Molecule: ribosomal RNA, 394 nt
Filed under: uncultured organism
Description: bacterial SSU rRNA
Rfam family: Bacterial small subunit ribosomal RNA
Source: RNAcentral
UGCUUAACACAUGCAAGUCGAACGGCAGCGCGGAGAGAGCUUGCUCUCUUUGGCGGCGAGUGGCGGACGGGUGAGUAAUACGUAGGAAUCUACCUAGAGGAGGGGGACAACUUGGGGAAACUCAAGCUAAUACCGCAUAAUACUUAAGGGUUAAAGCAUGGGACCUUCGGGCCAUGCGCCGAUAGAUGAGCCUACGUUAGAUUAGCUAGUUGGUGGGGUAAAGGCCUACCAAGGCGAUGAUCUAUAGCUGGUCUGAGAGGAUGAUCAGCCACACUGGGACUGAGACACGGCCCAGACUCCUACGGGAGGCAGCAGUGGGGAAUAUUGGACAAUGGGCGCAAGCCUGAUCCAGCAAUGCCGCGUGUGUGAAGAAGGCCUGCGGGUUGUAAAGCAC